GAUGAACGCUGGCGGCGUGCCUAAUACAUGCAAGUCGAGCGAACAGACGUGGAGCUUGCUCCUCUUCCGUUAGCGGCGGACGGGUGAGUAACACGUGGAUAACCUACCUAUUAGACUGGGAUAACUUCGGGACACCGGAGCUAUUACCGGAUAAUCUCUUGAACCGCGUGGUUCAAUAUUGAUGAAUGUCUUUCUUUUCCUUAAAGAUAGCACCACUCCCCGUUACCUAGUUGGUUAGGUUACGGCUUACCAAGGCAACGAUACGUAGCCGACCGCAGAUGGUGAUCGGCAACACUGGAACGGAGACCCGGUCAAGACGCUUACGGGAGGCAGCAUUAGGGAAUCUUCCGAAAUGGGCGAAGGCCUAACGGAGCAACGCGGGGUGAGGGAAGAGGGUCUCCGGAUGGUAAAACUCUGUUAUCAGGGAAGAACAAAUGCGUACGAAAAGAUGCACGUCUUGACGGUACCGAAUCAGAAAGCCACGGCUAACUACGUG
RNAcentral lists this ribosomal RNA (496 nucleotides) under uncultured bacterium. RNAcentral's name for it is "partial 16S ribosomal RNA". It matches the Rfam family "Bacterial small subunit ribosomal RNA", at positions 28 to 507 of the family's 1533-position model. The record is from RNAcentral.